CCCUUAGAGUUUGAUCCUGGCUCAGGAUGAACGCUAGCUACAGGCUUAACACAUGCAAGUCGAGGGGCAGCAUGGUCUUAGCUUGCUAAGGCCGAUGGCGACCGGCGCACGGGUGAGUAACGCGUAUCCAACCUGCCUUACACUCUUGGACAGCCUUCUGAAAGGGAGAUUAAUACAAGAUGUUAUCAUGAGUAAGCAUUUUCACAUGAUUAAAGGUUUACCGGUGUAAGAUGGGGAUGCGUUCCAUUAGAUAGUAGGCGGGGUAACGGCCCACCUAGUCUUCGAUGGAUAGGGGUUCUGAGAGGAAGGUCCCCCACAUUGGAACUGAGACACGGUCCAAACUCCUACGGGAGGCAGCAGUGAGGAAUAUUGGUCAAUGGACGAGAGUCUGAACCAGCCAAGUAGCGUGAAGGAUGAAGGUUCUAUGGAUUGUAAACUUCUUUUAUACGGGAAUAAACGAAUCCACGCG
This 469-nucleotide ribosomal RNA is filed under the name uncultured bacterium. RNAcentral describes it as "bacterial SSU rRNA". It matches the Rfam family "Bacterial small subunit ribosomal RNA", at positions 1 to 462 of the family's 1533-position model. The record is from RNAcentral.